AACCUGAUGCACCUGGCGUGACGAGCCGGA
RNAcentral lists this small RNA (30 nucleotides) under Bombyx mori (domestic silkworm). Its description in RNAcentral is "ovarian small RNA-10363". The record is from RNAcentral. Lineage: Eukaryota; Metazoa; Arthropoda; Insecta; Lepidoptera; Bombycidae.